Molecule: ribosomal RNA, 497 nt
Filed under: uncultured bacterium
Lineage: Bacteria
Description: partial 16S ribosomal RNA
Rfam family: Bacterial small subunit ribosomal RNA
Source: RNAcentral
GAGGAACGCUGGCGGCGUGCCUAAUACAUGCAAGUCGAGCGAACAGACGAGGAGCUUGCUCCUCUGACGUUAGCGGCGGACGGGUGAGUAACACGUGGAUAACCUACCUAUAAGACUGGGAUAACUUCGGGAAACCGGAGCUAAUACCGGAUAAUAUAUUGAACCGCAUGGUUCAAUAGUGAAAGACGGUUUUGCUGUCACUUAUAGAUGGAUCCGCGCCGCAUUAGCUAGUUGGUAAGGUAACGGCUUACCAAGGCAACGAUGCGUAGCCGACCUGAGAGGGUGAUCGGCCACACUGGAACUGAGACACGGUCCAGACUCCUAAGGGAGGCAGCAGUAGGGAAUCUUCCGCAAUGGGCGAAAGCCUGACGGAGCAACGCCGCGUGAGUGAUGAAGGUCUUCGGAUCGUAAAACUCUGUUAUUAGGGAAGAACAAAUGUGUAAGUAACUAUGCACGUCUUGACGGUACCUAAUCAGAAAGCCACGGCUAACUACGUG